Molecule: ribosomal RNA, 429 nt
Filed under: Bacteroidota bacterium
Lineage: Bacteria; Pseudomonadati; Bacteroidota
Description: Bacteroidetes bacterium partial 16S ribosomal RNA
Rfam family: Bacterial small subunit ribosomal RNA
Source: RNAcentral
UAGGGAAUCUUCCGCAAUGGACGCAAGUCUGACGGAGCAACGCCGCGUUAGUGAAGAAGGAUUUCGGUUCGUAAAACUCUGUUGUUAGAGAAGAACAGCGCAUAGAGUAACUGUUAUGCGUGUGACGGUAUCUAACCAGAAAGCCACGGCUAACUACGUGCCAGCAGCCGCGGUAAUACGUAGGUGGCAAGCGUUGUCCGGAUUUAUUGGGCGUAAAGCGAGCGCAGGCGGUCAAUUAAGUCUGAUGUGAAAGCCCCCGGCUCAACCGGGGAGGGUCAUUGGAAACUGGUUGACUUGAGUGCAGAAGAGGAGAGUGGAAUUCCAUAUGUAGCGGUGAAAUGCGUAGAUAUAUGGAGGAACACCAGUGGCGAAGGCGACUCUCUGGUCUGUAACUGACGCUGAGGUUCGAAAGCGUGGGUAGCAAACAGG